AACGACUCUCGGCAACGGAUAUCUCGGCUCUCGCAUCGAUGAAGAACGUAGCGAAAUGCGAUACUUGGUGUGAAUUGCAGAAUCCCGUGAACCAUCGAGUCUUUGAACGCAAGUUGCACCCGAAGCCUUCCGGCCGAGGGCACGUCUGCCUGGGCGUCACGC
Molecule: ribosomal RNA, 162 nt
Filed under: Opuntia megacantha
Lineage: Eukaryota; Viridiplantae; Streptophyta; Magnoliopsida; Caryophyllales; Cactaceae
Also listed under: 1 other name
Description: 5.8S ribosomal RNA
Rfam family: 5.8S ribosomal RNA
About the family: 5.8S ribosomal RNA (5.8S rRNA) is a component of the large subunit of the eukaryotic ribosome.
Source: RNAcentral